This 538-nucleotide small RNA is filed under the name Pongo abelii (Sumatran orangutan). RNAcentral's name for it is "processed transcript". The record is from RNAcentral. Lineage: Eukaryota; Metazoa; Chordata; Mammalia; Primates; Hominidae.
GAGCAAAGUUAGCAAGUUGCAGCGCCUCUGCGUUCUGAUUCUAUGGAACCUUUUUGUAGGGAGAAGGGCAGGAUGUUUUUAACUGAAUGUGACCUCACGGGAAUACUAGAGAAAAUAAUAAAAUUUCUGAAUGGGGCAGCGUGGAGAAAUCCUAAGAGAAAUAGCAUAAGAGCAUUUUGGAACACAUCCAGGAAAAGAUAACUUUCGACACACCUGUAGACGUUCGCCAGGUAAAGAUGGAGUUCUGCUCUUGUCGCCCAGGCGGAGUACAAUGGCACAGUCUCAGCUCACUGCAACCUCUGCCUCCUGGGUUCAAACAAUUCUCCUGCCCAGCCUCCCGAGUGGCUGGGAUUACAAGUGCCUGCCACCACGACCGGCUAAUUUUGUACUUUUAGUAGAGAUGGGGUUUCACCAUGUUGGCCAGGCUGGGCUCAAAAUCCUGACCUCAGGUGAUUCACCUGCCUCAGCCUCUCAAAGUGCUGGGAUUACAAGGCUUGAACCACUGUGUCCAGCCUCCUGCAUUUUUUUUUCAUUUCCC